AGGAAUGUGGCGAGACGCAAAUGAACAUGAAGUGCUUGGCCAAGGGUCCGGGGCAGGCUCGCUGCGCCCAGAAGCCAACUCUCAUCAGUAACAUCGUCAGAGGGGCCCACAUAUCCACCCAUGUCCUGCCCAGAACCAUGGGAAAGUGGACCUGCCAUGGGCAUGAAUGCUCAGUGGGGCCUCUGCCAGUCUCCAGACCCCGACCUGCCCAUCACCUCCCCAGACGCAGCCGCCAACGAGCUCAGAGGCAGCUCCAGGCGUCCGCCAUCCUCAGACUUCAGGGCCCCACCCUUUGGGCCCAGGCAGACGCAGGGCAGGGAGCUUCCACAGGAGGAGGGCGGCAGCUGGGUUCAGCAAGACCCCCUCCUGGUGGCCCACCGUCAGGACAGAUCCCAGCCAAACGCAUUUUUUUGUUUUUUCAAAAGACAAAUAAAUGGGUCAGAAGCCAACGAGGGGGUGCAGGAGCUGCCACUGGAGGGGAAGUUCCAGAGGAGAAACUUGGAAGCUCCGCUCAAGGAAAUUUAAUGAGCUAGAAAGAGAUGGGAAGCAGGACCAGCUCAGGGCGUCAAUCAAAUAUUCAUCACAGGAAAGGCAAGUCUUGCUAAGGUGUGGAUCAAUAGGGCCGGGAACUCCAAACAUCUGCCUCCCGAAAGCACUUCCAGAAAUCGAGGGCUAAACAACAGCAGAGCGGGAGCUGGAGGGAGGAUGGGAGGUAACCCAGGUGACC
This 727-nucleotide long non-coding RNA is filed under the name Marmota monax (woodchuck). Lineage: Eukaryota; Metazoa; Chordata; Mammalia; Rodentia; Sciuridae. The record is from RNAcentral.